UUAGUGUGUAAAAUUCGCGCGCUUUUGUCACAGCCAUUGUUAUUGUUUACGAUUUUUAACUGGAAAACUACACUAUGUUGACAGCUUCAGUUGCUUUUGGCCUGCUGUAACUGAAUGUGGAUGAAAAUCAAUAAUUCAAUGUAAAUAUUGAUGAUGCCAGCCUAGCUAAAAUAAGCUGUCUAUAAUCUUUGUUUCAAGCCAGAUUUUACACCAAGCCUUUUCAAAGUCAUGGAAAUGAUUAAAAGCCAAGCUAAGAAUUUGUUCUAUAUUCAUUGCAAAAAGAUUUUAAAAUGGAGCUGCUCCAUACAUGGGGAUCCGGAUGGACAUGUUGCAAUUUAUGCCUGAAUUCAAAUUUUUGGAGGAUUGUUAUGAUAAUUAUAAAUUCUCAUUUUAGAAGAACAAGUUGAUUUAAGAUUUGUCUCUUACAUAAUUCAGUCUGAAAAAGCUGCCUCCCUUAUUCUUAUCACAACUAAGGUGACAUGUCUGUUUCACUUCAGUGCGUGUGUACAGGAAUAGACUUUUCCUGGACGUCUCAUCUAGAAUGCAACUGGUGUUAAUCCUGCAGAGAAGGACAAAUAUUGAUUGGGUGACAUAAAGACCCUUUGGCAUCAGCUUAUUAACAGUUCAGUGAUUGUUUAUGUUAUUGCAGCAACUGGAGAUAAAUCUUGAUUUAAGGACCCCCCCUCCCUUGCUGACUUCCAAAAGAGGUGGGGGUGGGGUAAAAUCCUAUUCAGCAUGUCUGUGGAGAACACAGUUCCAGACUUCAGAAUGAGAUGUGGAAACCUGGUGAGAAGGUUGGGGAGAGAGGUGAUGUAAUCUCAUCUCCCCAACCCCCCUUACACAAUAGAAAUCAGCUGGAAGUUUGACCAUUAAGGGAUGUAGGAUACUUGUCAUGAUUUAUCAUCCUGAUCUAUCGAAACAAAGGUGCAGUUCGCAGUUCAAUGUUCUACAAUUGGAUUGUCAAGAUUUACGACAUGAGCCAGAGGUUGUGAAAACACUGGAAAGAAAAAGUAAUAUCAACAUGAAGCAAGUCUACAUUUUGGCGAGUUGUGCAGAUGGAUAGUAACUUGCCCGGGCAGACACAUCUUGUGUCCAUCAGACAGGAAUUAAUCAAUAUAUACAAGCGUAGAGAAUCUCUGGAAAGGACAUGAUGAUUUCUGAAUCAGUGCUGCAGCAAAGAAACAAAUUAAGCGGGUUAUAGACAAACAUUAAAAUUUAAUGAUCACCACUGACAUGUUAUUUCAUCCUAGUGGAUUUUGUACGAUUAAUGUGUACACAUUCACAGCAUACCACACUGGUUGUUUAUAUCUGCUGUCAAGAUCAUAUAUUUAAUGUUCCUGUUCUGUUGUCAAUUCUGUUAUAACACAUUUUUCAAAUGAUAUGAUUUAUUAAUAGUUUGCUGAUCGCUGUGUUGAUAAGUUGCAUUUAAAUAUGCAUAAAACUCCACAGUUUGUUAUGUUUAGUUAGUAUCUGAUGUAUUAUUCAUCACCAUGAAAACAUAUUAUUUAAAGUAAGGAAGGGGGGGGGGGGGGGUAUAUACAUACAUAUCCAUUUCCUUACUGUUAUUUCAAGUUAUUUGAAGUUAACCUCAGUUAUUUUAUGUUCUGUGAUCAUAUGAGCUGUUGGACAUUAAACAAAUGUAACAGAUA
Long non-coding RNA from Magallana angulata, 1649 nucleotides. RefSeq lists it as uncharacterized. The record is from RefSeq and is a predicted model, not a curated record. The transcript has 8 exons. Lineage: Eukaryota; Metazoa; Mollusca; Bivalvia; Ostreida; Ostreidae.